RNAcentral lists this long non-coding RNA (1203 nucleotides) under Homo sapiens (human). RNAcentral describes it as "HSALNT0156315". The record is from RNAcentral. Lineage: Eukaryota; Metazoa; Chordata; Mammalia; Primates; Hominidae.
GUUUGCCGCGGAACCUUGACCUCGGCCCCGCCCGGGGCUUCCUGCGGGUGGGGCGGCUCCGGGAUGAGCUCUGCUGCGGGUGGGGUCAGCCCUUACCCGCUGGCCAUUUCCGUUCCCUCUUUUUUCUUCUUUUUUCCACGCCUCAGGUGUCUCAGCGGAUGUACUACGGUGACGAAGUGUCUACAGCUAUAAUUUGUCCUUGGAACACUGCUUUUGCUACAUCCCAUAGAUUUUGGAGUCUGGUCUGUCUCUGUUGCCCAGGCUGGAGUACAUGGUACCAUCAUAGCUCACUGCAGCCUCAAACUCCUGAGCUCAAGUGAUCCUCCCACCUCAGCCUCCUGAGUAGCUGAGACUAUCGGCUGCACUACCACACCUGGAUAGCACCUUUCGAUAAGUAUAACAGAGUGUCCCCUCCCCUCCUCUCCCUCCACCCCUCCCUCCUUCCCUUCCUUCCUUCCUUUUUACAGAGACAAGUUCUCACUAUGUUGCCAGGCUGGUCUCGAACUCCUGGGCUCAAGUGAUACUCCUGCCUUGGCCUCUCAAAGUGCUGGGAUUAGACGUGAGCCACUGUGCCUGGCCUAAGUCAGUAUUUCUACAAGCAAUGGAAGAGAUUGCUGAUUUUUGUUUGUUUUCAGUUAAAUACCAGGUAAGUUCAAUGACUUGCUUUGACAGGACAUCUUAUAUGAAAAAUACCUAUCUUUGAACACUAGAAUCAAACUCAGGAAGUUGAGCUAUGUACACUAUGAUAGGUACAAGGGAAAGAGACCGGUUUGAGAGAACAGUGGAUUCACAACUUCCAUCUAACACGAAUGUGAUCCAUAUAUACAUGGAGAGCAGACAUCUAAACAACUGGAAACACAGCAGAAGGGCAUGCUUUUUCGAAAUUGUUACCUUUCUCAUUUUCGCUCAGUACCCAUAUAGCUGAACUCACGUAAUGAAAUGUUCAUAGAAUGUGACCCUAUUCUCUGCUACAAUUAGAGGGAUUUGUGAAACUUUUGUCAUUUAAUAAAACCAUUAGUUGUAAUUAUUUAUUAAAUCAAUUCAUAUGUUCCUCUCUUUUCACAUUCAAAUACGUUUUAAUAGGAAUGGCAAUAUAUUUUAAUGCUCCAGAGGAAAGAGUAGAACUCUGGCCAUUGUACAUUCUUUAUUAAACAUCAAUACUGAAAACAGAUUUACUGACAUAUGUAUAUAAAUAUAAUCAAA